UGCAGCCUUGUCAAAUUCAGCAUCCCCUGAACAGUGGGCGAUGCUGGCCAAAAUGGCUGCUACAGAAUCCCUUCAGCUCAUGGGCCUCACUCCUUGAUCAGGAGGCUGUGGGGAUAAGUUUGCGCUGAAGACACUA
Small nucleolar RNA from Xenopus tropicalis (tropical clawed frog), 136 nucleotides. The record is from Ensembl. Lineage: Eukaryota; Metazoa; Chordata; Amphibia; Anura; Pipidae.